Molecule: ribosomal RNA, 615 nt
Filed under: uncultured marine bacterium
Lineage: Bacteria
Description: bacterial SSU rRNA
Rfam family: Bacterial small subunit ribosomal RNA
Source: RNAcentral
AGAGUUUGAUCAUGGCUCAGGAUGAACGCUGGCGGCGUGCUUAACACAUGCAAGUCGAACGAACCUUCGGGUUAGUGGCGGACGGGUGAGUAACGCGUGAGAAUCUGCCCUCAGGAGGGGGAUAACGGUUGGAAACGACCGCUAAUACCCCAUAGGCCUACUGGUGAAAUGAAUUUCGCCUGAGGAUGAGCUCGCGUCUGAUUAGCUAGUUGGUGAGGUAAUGGCUCACCAAGGCUUCGAUCAGUAGCUGGUCUGAGAGGAUGAUCAGCCACACUGGGACUGAGACACGGCCCAGACUCCUACGGGAGGCAGCAGUGGGGAAUUUUCCGCAAUGGGCGAAAGCCUGACGGAGCAACGCCGCGUGAGGGACGAAGGCCUCUGGGCUGUAAACCUCUUUUCUCAAGGAAGAAGAUAUGACGGUACUUGAGGAAUAAGCCACGGCUAAUUCCGUGCCAGCAGCCGCGGUAAUACGGGAGUGGCAAGCGUUAUCCGGAAUUAUUGGGCGUAAAGCGUCCGCAGGCGGCUUUUCAAGUCUGCUGUUAAAGCGUGGAGCUUAACUCCAUCAUGGCAGUGGAAACUGAAAGGCUUGAGUAUGGUAGGGGCAGAGGGAAUUCC